GUUUGAUCCUGGCUCAGAGCGAACGUUAGCGGCGGGCCUAACACAUGCAAGUCGAACGAGAAUGUAGGCUUCGGUCUACUAGUAAAGUGGCGGACGGGUGCGUAACACGUGGGUAAUCUACCUUCCGGCGGGGGACAACAGUCCGAAAGGAUUGCUAAUACCGCAUACGUCAGCGGCGCCUACGGGCGCUGUUGGGAAAGAUGGCCUCUCCUUGGAAGCUGUCACCGGAAGAUGAGCCCGCGUCCCAUCAGCUAGUUGGUGAGGUAACGGCUCACCAAGGCUUAGACGGGUAGCUGGUCUGAGAGGAUGAUCAGCCACACUGGGACUGCGACACGGCCCAGACUCCUACGGGAGGCAGCAGUGGGGAAUAUUGGGCAAUGGGCGGAAGCCUGACCCAGCCACGCCGCGUGAGUGAUGAAGGCCUUCGGGUCGUAAAGCUCUGUGGGGAGGGACGAAUAAGCCUGGUGAUAAUAACACCGGGCCCUGGCGGUACCUCCUUAGCAAGCACCGGCUAACCCUGUGCCAGCAGCCGCGGUAAUACAGGGGGUGCAAACGUUGCUCGGAAUCAUUGGGCGUAAAGCGCACGUAGGCGGUUCGUUAUGUCGGAUGUGAAAGCCCUUGGCUUAACCGAGGAAGUGCAUCCGAAACUGGCGAGCUAGAGUACUAAAGAGGAUCGCGGAAUUCCCGGUGUAGAGGUGAAAUUCGUAGAUAUCGGGAGGAACACCGGUGGCGAAGGCGGCGAUCUGGGUAGAUACUGACGCUGAGGUGCGAAAGCGUGGGGAGCAAACAGGAUUAGAUACCCUGGUAGUC
RNAcentral lists this ribosomal RNA (810 nucleotides) under uncultured delta proteobacterium. Its description in RNAcentral is "bacterial SSU rRNA". It matches the Rfam family "Bacterial small subunit ribosomal RNA", at positions 11 to 795 of the family's 1533-position model. Lineage: Bacteria; Deltaproteobacteria. The record is from RNAcentral.